GGAUUCUAGACUCUUCCUCUGAAAAUUGAACCCAGGAAAUGGAACAAUGACUGAACUGUGCCAACAGUCUACUGUCCUCAUGCCCCUUUAAAGAAAUAUCAGCAGUAUCAAUCUACAGAGAGAAAGGACAUUUUGGUUCCUGGUUUCAGGGUCAGUAGUCCAUGAUCAAGAGGACCCAUUGCUUUUUAUGUGGUGAGCAGGACAUCACCGCCAGAAUGAAUGCAGAGAGAAACAAGGCAUCUUUACAUCUAUCUGACUGCUGGAGGACAAGAGAAAAUGGAUGAGUUAGGAGUCCUACAGUUUCCCAGUUGCUCUAUUUGAAUAGAAUUUUGUAUUGAGUUUUAAGAUAACUAUUUUGUCCUUUGGAAUUUUGGAGAAAUGACUAAGUGGCAUUUCAGGAUGCACAGACAUUGUUGAAGGCUCUGGAAUAUUAUGGACCCUGCUUUUUUUGAGGCUUCUUUCUGUUUUUUAAAAUGAUUUUUACUUUGAUUCAUGAAAUUCUGGGACUUCAAGACAGCGUAUUUGAUUGGGCCUACUAUAUUGCAUAGAUUGGACUGUAUAUAAACUUUGUGUAUAUCCCAGCUUGGCCUCAAAUUAGUGAUCUUUCUGCCUCACCCUCCUCACUACUGAGACGAUGGGUAUGUGUAUCACACCUCGCUCAGUGAACGCUUUAUAUCUGAGGAUAUAUGUCCUUCAGUUUUAAAUGGAUUUAUGUAUUUAUAUAAGAGGGUUUUCCUUCUUUUUCUCAGUUCAUUUCCUAGGAGUGUUACUACACAGACAAUGAAAAUCUUAUUACUAUUUUUAUAUGUUGUAUAAUUUGGUUGUAUUGCUUUAUAGUCAGUGAGAUUUCUAUGAUUUUUGUUACAAAUAUAAGUUUAUAUAUCAGGUGCUUUCCUUGUUAAAAAUUUAAAGACACCAUUUUCCACUGCUCCAAUUUCAAGGCAUCCUUUCCUGUUGCUUCUCCUCCUGUCUGAUGGUCUUGUGCAUUAAUACCACUUUAAACACAUUUACUAUUUUGUGUUAGCAGGGUUUUGAUAGGGGCAAGAAAUGAAUACACAAUCCACCUGACAGUUCUAGUAAUGGGAUCAUUCUGGGCAAAGUUUAUGGUAGAAUACAACUGGAAAUUGGAUGUCACAAAAGCCUAGUGACAAGUUAUGUUUACAUUUAUUUAAUUUCAGUAUUUAUAUUGCUUGGUGCCAUUAAGUGAAACAGCUCCAGGGCUGCCGAAGAGCCCCAGGAAAGCUGUAGACAAUUUCUCUUUGUGUUUCUAGGAUAUCUGAUGUCAUAUUAUUUUUGGGUGACAGUAGAUGUGCACAAAUACUGCUUACAGGUGUAUCAAGCACCACAGUAGUCUGGCUUUUAAAAAUGAAGGCUCCACAGUUAUGGGGACCUCAAUUCAAACACCACUUCAGUAUUUAUUAACAAUGAGGCUUCUCAGUUUCUCAGACCUUCUGGAUCUUCUUCUGUAGAAUGGGGUUUAAUUAUUGUGUGCACUUUGUAGGCCUGUUGUGAAGAUUAACUGAGAUAAUGUAGUUAGCGUACAUUGCACAGCAUCAGGUAUGGUAGAUAUUGAGUAAGUGACAGCUGUUAUUAUUUUAAUGGUACAUAAUUAUACUUUAACAAAAGCUGUAACUCCUUACAAAGCAGUGGAUUGUCUAAAACAUAUCAAAGCAUACACUUGAUCCUAAAAUGAAGAAAUAUAAAUGUAUAAGGUAUUACUUGCUCAUAAUAACUAUUUAAUUUGUAGUGAAAGAAUUCAUUAGAAAACUGGAACCUUAAAAGAUUCAUCCAUAUAUAUAGAUGUGCCAAGGGUCCGAGAGAGAAGCCUAAAGAUUACUUCGUAAUAUACAUAAUAUUAUCAAUAUUAUAUAGAAUAAAAUAUAUUAGUAUGCAUGUAUGGAAAUAGUUUGUGUGAUAUGAAAGCAUAAACUUACUGUAAAUAAAUAAUACAUUUUGGUGAAUACUUUCAUUUGUUUCUCUUUUAUUUUAUUUUGUUUCCAUUAAU
Long non-coding RNA from Mus musculus (house mouse), 2005 nucleotides. RefSeq annotates it as predicted gene, 46847. The transcript is spliced from 3 exons. The record is from RefSeq and is a predicted model, not a curated record. NCBI's taxonomy places the organism in Eukaryota, Metazoa, Chordata, Mammalia, Rodentia, Muridae.